CCUGGUCCUGGGAGAGCAGGUCUGGGCGAGACAGCAAUGGCCACGGCAGGCCUGUGGGUGUUCUGUACCAAUGCUGCCUGGGACAUGCUGGGGCAAUCAGAAGGACCCGAGCCUUGUCCAACUUUAUCUUUUCCAGGACCUUGCUGAUCAGCGAGAACAGGGGAAAGGCAUAGAGGAACUGGCUUGAUCAGGACAGGAGGAAGGCAUUGGAGAUAGUGCCCCAUCCAAGGCCCCCCUCGGGAACAGAACUGGGGACAGCGAUGGUUCUGCUGUCACGAACAAGUCCACCUGGGGAGUUUCCCACACUUGGAAAAGUGUGCACCACCUCUUGGUGGAGAAACCACUUGUGCUGAGAGGAGAAAUCCCUGUUCAAGCAAUCUGCCUGCGCAUUCCGGGCACCUGGCAGAUGGAAGGCCUGUAGGCAGAUGUCGUGGGCUAUACAAAAGCCCCACAUCAUGAGAGCUUCGCAGCAGAGGAUUGGGCCUCACCUUGCCUGUUGAUAUAGAACAUUGAGGCCAUGUUGUCCAUGAAGACCCUGACCACCAGGCCCUCCAGGUGCGCGUGGAAGGCCUUGCACACCAGCCAUACUGCCCUGAGCUCCUUGAUGUUUAUGUGGAGGGUUAGAUCCUGAGCCAGCCACAGACCUUAGGUCUGAACGUUCCCCACAGGAGACCCCCAUCCCAGGUCCAAUGCAUCAGAUACUAGUUCCAGCGAUGGGGACCUGCCCCUCAACAGGACCCCUUGGAGCACGUUUCUCGGGGAGGACCACCACCGUAGAGAGGUGAUCACUGGCUUGGGCACCAUGAGGACUUUGUCCAUCCUGUCCCUGGCCUGGGAGAACUCAGAGGCCAACCAGAGCUGGAGGGGCCUCAUCCUGAGUGUGGCAUGAUGGACCACAUAGGUGCAUGCCGGCACAUGACCCAAGAACUAGAGGCACACUCAGGCUGUUGUCACCGGAAACCUUGUGAUCGUGUUGAUGACACCCUUCAGGGUCUCGAACUUGUCUGGUGGGAGGGAGGCUUUGGCCGACGUGGUGUCCAGGACCACCCCAAUAAAUUCUAUGCUUUGUACUGGGACUAACGUGGACUUGGUGUUGUUUACCAACAGGCCCAAAGUGGUGCAUGUGGACAGAGGAGUGAGUUCUGAUCUCGCACCUGCGACCGGGAGGUGCCCUUGACCAACCAGUCUCCAGAUGGGGAAGAUCUGGACCCCCCCAGCACCUGAGGAAACUUUGCUGUGCUAAUCGGCAACUACUUCUGCAGGAACCAAAGCAGCACACAGAUGUGCCCUUGAGGGCCACUUCCUACACACUGGCGGAGGACAUAUUUCAAGAUGUGCUGCAAUUGUCUGAGCAGGCUUAUAGCGAGCACAGAGCAUGGAGAGUGACAGUAAAUGAAAAACUAGAAAUGGAUAUCCAGGAGAGGAGAUGGGCAGGAGCAGAUGAUAAAGCUCAUGGAGGACCAGAGAUGUUCAGGUCCCAGUCGGAACACAUGUGUGCUUUGCCCCUGCAGCCCAUACAGAGCUGUGUUCCAUGUCCUCCCCAAACUCCCCCCAAACAUUCUUUGUAUGUUCCCAGCCUGCUGCAGUACCCUUUGCACUCCACGCCUGGGGACAUUUUCCAUGACAGCUGGACUUACAUACAGCCGUGAGAUCCUCAU
Molecule: long non-coding RNA, 1658 nt
Organism: Chelonoidis abingdonii (Abingdon island giant tortoise)
Lineage: Eukaryota; Metazoa; Chordata; Testudines; Testudinidae
Source: RefSeq, a predicted model, not a curated record